UAAUGUUUGAUGUUCUAACGUGGAUCCGUAAUCCGGGUUGCGGACAGUGUCUGGUGGGUAGUUUGACUGGGGCGGUCUCCUCCUAAAGAGUAACGGAGGAGCACGAAGGUUGGCUAAUCCUGGUCGGACAUCAGGAGGUUAGUGCAAUGGCAUAAGCCAGCUUGACUGCGAGCGUGACGGCGCGAGCAGGUGCGAAAGCAGGUCAUAGUGAUCCGGUGGUUCUGAAUGGAAGGGCCAUCGCUCAACGGAUAAAAGGUACUCCGGGGAUAACAGGCUGAUACCGCCCAAGAGUUCAUAUCGACGGCGGUGUUUGGCACCUCGAUGUCGGCUCAUCACAUCCUGGGGCUGAAGUAGGUCCCAAGGGUAUGGCUGUUCGCCAUUUAAAGUGGUACGCGAGCUGGGUUUAGAACGUCGUGAGACAGUUCGGUCCCUAUCUGCCGUGGGCGCUGGAGAACUGAGGGGGGCUGCUCCUAGUACGAGAGGACCGGAGUGGACGCAUCACUGGUGUUCGGGUUGUCAUGCCAAUGGCACUGCCCGGUAGCUAAAUGCGGAAGAGAUAAGUGCUGAAAGCAUCUAAGCACGAAACUUGCCCCGA
This 595-nucleotide ribosomal RNA is filed under the name Salmonella enterica subsp. enterica serovar Infantis. RNAcentral's name for it is "partial 23S ribosomal RNA". It matches the Rfam family "Bacterial large subunit ribosomal RNA", at positions 2208 to 2802 of the family's 2925-position model. The record is from RNAcentral. Lineage: Bacteria; Pseudomonadati; Pseudomonadota; Gammaproteobacteria; Enterobacterales; Enterobacteriaceae. RNAcentral also lists the same sequence under 2 other names.